This 468-nucleotide ribosomal RNA is filed under the name uncultured bacterium. RNAcentral's name for it is "bacterial SSU rRNA". It matches the Rfam family "Bacterial small subunit ribosomal RNA", at positions 28 to 491 of the family's 1533-position model. The record is from RNAcentral.
GAUGAACGCUAGCGGCAGGCUUAACACAUGCAAGUCGAGGGGCAGCACGGGUAGCAAUACCUGGUGGCGACCGGCGCAAGGGUGCGUAACGCGUGAGCAACAUGCCCUAUACAGGGGGAUAAUCCAGGGAAACUUGGUCUAAUAUCCCAUAGUAUUUAGAGGAGGCAUCUUCUGUAAAUUAAAGCUUCGGUGGUAUAGGAUUGGCUCGCGUGACAUUAGCUAGAUGGUGAGGUAACGGCUCACCAUGGCAAUGAUGUCUAGGGGUUCUGAGAGGAAGGCCCCCCACACUGGGACUGAGACACGGCCCAGACUCCUACGGGAGGCAGCAGUGAGGAAUAUUGGACAAUGGAUGGAAAUCUGAUCCAGCCAUGCCGCGUGCAGGAAGACAGCCCUAUGGGUUGUAAACUGCUUUUAUAUGGGAGCAAUAAGGUCUACGUGUAGACUGAUGAGAGUACCAUAUGAAUAAGC